RNAcentral lists this ribosomal RNA (369 nucleotides) under uncultured bacterium. RNAcentral's name for it is "bacterial SSU rRNA". It matches the Rfam family "Bacterial small subunit ribosomal RNA", at positions 527 to 896 of the family's 1533-position model. The record is from RNAcentral.
GUAGGGUGCGAGCGUUAAUCGGAAUUACUGGGCGUAAAGCGUGCGCAGGCGGUUGGUUAAGUCUGAUGUGAAAGCCCCGGGCUCAACUUGGGAAUGGCAUUGGAAACUGGCUGGCUAGAGUGUGGCAGAGGGGGGUGGAAUUCCGCGUGUAGCAGUGAAAUGCGUAGAGAUGCGGAGGAACACCGAUGGCGAAGGCAGCCCCCUGGGCUGACACUGACGCUCAGGCACGAAAGCGUGGGGAGCAAACAGGAUUAGAUACCCUGGUAGUCCACGCCCUAAACGAUGGCAACUGGGUGUUGGGGAAGCGAUUCCUUGGUACCGUAGCUAACGCGUGAAGUUGCCCGCCUGGGGUGUACGGCCGCAAGGUUA